UCAGGACGAACGCUGGCGGCGUGCCUAAUACAUGCAAGUAGAACGCUGAGGACUGGUGCUUGCACUGGUNUAAGGAGUUGCGAACGGGUGAGUAACGCGUAGGUAACCUACCUCAUAGCGGGGGAUAACUAUUGGAAACGAUAGCUAAUACCGCAUGACAAUAGGGUACACAUGUACGUAAUUUAAAAGGGGCAAAUGCUUCACUAUGAGAUGGACCUGCGUUGUAUUAGCUAGUUGGUAAGGUAACGGCUUACCAAGGCGACGAUACAUAGCCGACCUGAGAGGGUGAUCGGCCACACUGGGACUGAGACACGGCCCAGACUCCUACGGGAGGCAGCAGUAGGGAAUCUUCGGCAAUGGGGGGAACCCUGACCGAGCAACGCCGCGUGAGUGAAGAAGGUUUUCGGAUCGUAAAGCUCUGUU
Molecule: ribosomal RNA, 423 nt
Filed under: uncultured Streptococcus sp.
Lineage: Bacteria; Bacillati; Bacillota; Bacilli; Lactobacillales; Streptococcaceae
Description: bacterial SSU rRNA
Rfam family: Bacterial small subunit ribosomal RNA
Source: RNAcentral